UCUAAGGAGACAUGGGUAUGGCUAAGGCGCAUACCCGGAGUCUCAGUCGAUCAUUCGGAGACUGAAGCCGUGCGUGAGGCUUGACGCACGGACGGGAAACCGGAUGUAAAAGCCAACAAAACAAUUGCCGUCUAUAAUCUGCUAUCCGAUUUUCAGGGCCCGUGGCGGCUCAGGUGAUCGCAUCUGAGACAUGGGCUCAUAGCUCAGCCGGUUAGAGCGUACGCCUGAUAAGCGUAAGGUCGGUGGUUCGAGUCCACUUGAGCCCACCAUCUCUUUUCCGAGAGCGCACGCACCUUGACAACCGCAUAAGGAAGAAGAUAGAUAAGACAGAGAGAAAGAGAGGUAAAAGAAGAUAACGAGUAAGCAAAGGGUAUGAGAGUACCCGGGACUGCUUGCUUGGGAUUUUCCUCGAAGAAAGACUGUCAGGAUUUAUCGACGAGAGAACCAAGACUAAACAAGGUCAAGUUACUAAGAGCGCAGGGUGGAUGCCUUGGCGCUGAGAGCCGAAGAAGGACGUGACAAGCUGCGAAAAGCCGCGGGGAGGAGCAAAUAUCCCUUGAUCCGCGGAUGU
RNAcentral lists this unclassified non-coding RNA (571 nucleotides) under uncultured Lachnospiraceae bacterium. Its description in RNAcentral is "partial 16S-23S ribosomal RNA intergenic spacer". The stretch from base 459 to 571 matches the Rfam family "Bacterial large subunit ribosomal RNA", at positions 1 to 113 of the family's 2925-position model. Lineage: Bacteria; Bacillati; Bacillota; Clostridia; Lachnospirales; Lachnospiraceae. The record is from RNAcentral.